AGAAAUUUAGGUUCAGACCCAAACCAAGAGCCUUCAAAGCUCUAAACACGAGUAGCCCACCCUCAUAAUUUCUG
This 74-nucleotide transfer RNA is filed under the name Garthia gaudichaudii (Chilean marked gecko). RNAcentral's name for it is "tRNA-Trp". The record is from RNAcentral. Lineage: Eukaryota; Metazoa; Chordata; Lepidosauria; Squamata; Phyllodactylidae.